RNAcentral lists this long non-coding RNA (794 nucleotides) under Cricetulus griseus (Chinese hamster). Its description in RNAcentral is "lncRNA (ENSCGRG00015032028.1)". The record is from RNAcentral. Lineage: Eukaryota; Metazoa; Chordata; Mammalia; Rodentia; Cricetidae.
AUUUGGUCUCUCACCAUCUCCUGUGGCCUCCCUGCCAUUUCUAUGCUUCACCGCUCUCUGUAGCCAGGAGUCCAGUGUUUCCUUUAAGGUUAGUGGUGAUGCAGGAGAGUCCUGUUUGCUUCUGCUUUGCUGUGGUAAGAAUUCCCAUGGAGCUGGGGAGAUCGUUCAGUAGUCCUCUACUCUUCUAGACCAUGGUAAUUAACAAGUUACCCAGCUCAUCUUCUGGCUAACUCUACACCAAGGCUGGCUUUAUGAAGACAAUGAUGCAGUCACAUGAGAGGUUCCACCACCUGUCAACAUGCAUGAACCUGGAGCACUCUGCCUUCCAUCUGAUAGUGUGGGCAACAGGUCCCUGAUCCAUCCCGUGCAAUUGCAAGAAGUGGGCAUGGAUGGUGUUCCCAUCGUUUCCAGUGUUCUCGACAACUUCAUUACUGCAAUGACACUACACAUUGACUGGUUGAUAUCCUGCCUCAUCAGCCUCUCCUUUCAUAGCCUUUGUGGCUUUCCUUCUGGAUGACAAGUGAGGAAGUCUCACUUUUUUCUGACUUCUGUUUGCAUAUUCUUCAUGGUGAUCAUAUGGAAUCCCAUGGCUUUAAAAUGCAGUCCAUCAGGAUAUAGAGGUCAUGAGGGAGCAGAAAGGUUGAGUCAGGGAAAGAAUAGAAGAAAGGAUAUGUGAUAGGUAGGGUUUUAGUUGGGGAGGGUGGUAGGGGAGGACGGGAGGAAGAAGGGAACUGGGAUUGUCAUGUAAAACAAUCUUGUUUCUAAUUCAAAUAAAAAAAAUCUGAAAAAAGGAA